This 252-nucleotide ribosomal RNA is filed under the name uncultured bacterium. RNAcentral describes it as "partial 16S ribosomal RNA". It matches the Rfam family "Bacterial small subunit ribosomal RNA", at positions 524 to 776 of the family's 1533-position model. The record is from RNAcentral.
UACGUAGGUCCCGAGCGUUGUCCGGAUUUAUUGGGCGUAAAGCGAGCGCAGGUGGUCUAUUAAGUCUGGUGUAAAAGGCAGUGGCUCAACCAUUGUAUGCAUUGGAAACUGGUAGACUUGAGUGCAGGAGAGGAGAGUGGAAUUCCAUGUGUAGCGGUGAAAUGCGUAGAUAUUAGGAGGAACACCAGUGGCGAAGGCGGCUUACUGGACGGCAACUGACGCUGAGGCUCGAAAGCGUGGGGAGCAAACAGG